CCUUAUCUCUUCUUCACUUUGCAGAAUGGAAAGCUCACAGAUAUUCCAUCAAUGAUGUCACGUAUGUUGUCCACCCUCUUGAACUGGCCACUUUCAUCCUGAAUGCCAUCAACUAACAACAGAAGAUUAACCAUUCUUUUCCACUCCCAGUCCCAUCUUUUCUGGCUCAUCAUAAAAACGGCACUUCCGACCCACCUCUGAUGACAUCACUUCCGGCCAGCCAUGAUCAUGUCACAUCCUGUCUGCCCACGACUUCCUUCCUGCCGCCAUUAUUUAAACAGCACCAACUGUCUGUUUUGAAUUGUUGAAUGUUAUUUUUCAAUUUUGACCACUAUUCAGUCCUUUUUGACAACUCAGCGCCGGACAUUAUAUGGGGAAGCUUCCCAAGAUC
Erpetoichthys calabaricus (reedfish) is the source of this 391-nucleotide long non-coding RNA. RefSeq lists it as uncharacterized. The record is from RefSeq and is a predicted model, not a curated record. Lineage: Eukaryota; Metazoa; Chordata; Cladistia; Polypteriformes; Polypteridae. The transcript has 2 exons.